This 301-nucleotide ribosomal RNA is filed under the name uncultured bacterium. Its description in RNAcentral is "partial 16S ribosomal RNA". It matches the Rfam family "Bacterial small subunit ribosomal RNA", at positions 509 to 807 of the family's 1533-position model. The record is from RNAcentral.
CAGCCGCCGCGGUAAUACGUAGGGUGCGAGCGUUGUCCGGAAUUAUUGGGCGUAAAGAGCUCGUAGGCGGUUUGUCGCGUCGAAUGUGAAAGCCCGGGGCUUAACUCCGGGUCUGCAUUCGAUACGGGCAGGCUAGAGUGUGGUAGGGGAGAUCGGAAUUCCUGGUGUAGCGGUGAAAUGCGCAGAUAUCAGGAGGAACACCGGUGGCGAAGGCGGAUCUCUGGGCCAUUACUGACGCUGAGGAGCGAAAGCGUGGGGAGCGAACAGGAUUAGAUACCCCUGUAGUCCCUGUCUCUUAUAC